This 520-nucleotide ribosomal RNA is filed under the name uncultured bacterium. RNAcentral describes it as "bacterial SSU rRNA". It matches the Rfam family "Archaeal small subunit ribosomal RNA", at positions 345 to 866 of the family's 1478-position model. The record is from RNAcentral.
AACCUCCGCAAUGUGAGAAAUCGCGACGGGGGGAUCCCAAGUGCCAUUCUUAACGGGAUGGCUUUUCAUUAGUGUAAAGAGCUUUUGGAAUAAGAGCUGGGCAAGACCGGUGCCAGCCGCCGCGGUAACACCGGCAGCUCUAGUGGUAGCAAUUUUUAUUGGGCCUAAAGCGUCCGUAGCCGGUUUAAUAAGUCUCUGGUGAAAUCCUGCAGCUUAACUGUGGGAAUUGCUGGAGAUACUAUUAGACUUGAGAUCGGGAGAGGUUAGAGGUACUCCCAGGGUAGAGGUGAAAUUCUGUAAUCCUGGGAGGACCGCCCGUUGCGAAGGCGUCUAACUGGAACGAUUCUGACGGUGAGGGACGAAAGUUAGGGGCGCGAACCGGAUUAGAUACCCGGGUAGUCCUAACUGUAAACGAUGCGGACUUGGUGUUGGGGUGGUUUUGAGCUGCUCCAGUGCCGAAGGGAAGCUGUUAAGUCCGCCGCCUGGGAGUACGGUCGCAAGACUGAAACUUAAAGGAAUU